Long non-coding RNA from Triticum aestivum (bread wheat), 755 nucleotides. RefSeq lists it as uncharacterized. The record is from RefSeq and is a predicted model, not a curated record. Lineage: Eukaryota; Viridiplantae; Streptophyta; Magnoliopsida; Poales; Poaceae. The transcript is spliced from 5 exons.
UCCCUGAUGCGGUUCCCUCACACACGUAGGUGCACAACAGAGCCGGCUGUGUGUGGAGUGCGCGGGAAGAUUCUUCUUCCACUCCGGCAGUCUGGUGUUAGCAGUUAUGUACUUGAUAGAAGACACAUCUUUUCUACAUGGUAAAUUUCGGGAUGCAAACCUAGUAAUGUGCCUGAUCCCAGCUUGAGCAACAGUUGGAGUUAGCCAAGCGAGGCAGCGUGAGCACUAGGAGAGGGAGGGGAGAAGGAGAACUUAGGUUGCAUGGCACCAAUGGUCGGCUCCUUAUCCAGAAUCACGCGUCGGGAAAGGAGGUUCGAGGACUGCUUCUUCUUGGGACGCCACAUCCAUCGAGCUCUUACCCCAUCACCGCUGCCAUCCAUGGAGCUCUGACCUAUGGCCAACAAUUCGUCAUGGUGCACGAAAGACCCAGCGUGUGGUGUGCAUGUGGAAUUCUUCUUCACACUCAAACACAGGUUAUGAUAUCCAUGCUGGAGGAGUAGGAGGGCAACGGGCAAGUAAUAAUAGGAACCACCAUGAGCCUCACUAUGCGCUAUCCUGGUGAAACUGUUGGGUGCAACGGUGAUGGGCAAGACGAGCAUGUAGAAAGAGACCACAACAGCAGCAGGAUAAGACAUAGUUGUUGAAGACUUGAAAUACACAUGAAUGUACAUGUUUCGAUCUGAUCUCCCCUUAAUCUGGAUUGCCUUCUCUUCACAUGUAUGGUUGGUAUGUUUAGUGAAGCUUCUCAAUAGGUA